AGUGAACGCUGGCGGUAGGCCUAACACAUGCAAGUCGAACGGCAGCACAGUAAGAGCUUGCUCUUACGGGUGGCGAGUGGCGGACGGGUGAGGAAUACAUCGGAAUCUACUUUUUCGUGGGGGAUAACGUAGGGAAACUUACGCUAAUACCGCAUACGACCUACGGGUGAAAGCAGGGGAUCUUCGGACCUUGCGCGAUUGAAUGAGCCGAUGUCGGAUUAGCUAGUUGGCGGGGUAAAGGCCCACCAAGGCGACGAUCCGUAGCUGGUCUGAGAGGAUGGUUAGGCCAACUGGAACUUGGACACGGGUCCGGCCUCCAAGGGGGGGAGGAGUGGGGAAUUAUGGAACAUGGGCGGAAGCCUGAACCCAGCAAAACGGGUGGGGUAAAAAAGGCUUCCGGUUGGAAAAGCCCUUUGUUGGGAAAGAAAAGCAGCAGGUUAAUACCCCGCUGUUCUGACGGUACCCAAAGAAUAAGCACCGGCUAACUUCGUG
RNAcentral lists this ribosomal RNA (492 nucleotides) under uncultured bacterium. RNAcentral describes it as "partial 16S ribosomal RNA". It matches the Rfam family "Bacterial small subunit ribosomal RNA", at positions 29 to 507 of the family's 1533-position model. The record is from RNAcentral.